Oryza meridionalis is the source of this 107-nucleotide non-coding RNA. The record is from Rfam. NCBI's taxonomy places the organism in Eukaryota, Viridiplantae, Streptophyta, Magnoliopsida, Poales, Poaceae.
AUCCCAUGAUGAGGACAGGCGGCUACAUACUCCUGAAGAUGUUCCCAUGCUUCGGGAAUUGUCUCAUCCCUAGUCUGCUGAAAACUUGAUAUUCUCCCGCGAAGGGC